GCCAACAAGGUCAGUUCAGGAAAUGUGGUGUUCCGACUUGUCGUUCCGGGCUGGACAGGACGGAGGGGACUUCAACGGAUCUCACUUUAGGGAAGUACUGCGUUUGCACGGAGAACAGCGAUCUUCCCUGAGGGAUCUGGUUGCACAAAGAGAAGCCCUGAGCUCUUCAGGAGUCCAUCCUCCAAAAAAGCGGCUGGGAGGGCUGCGCAGGUGCAGGAUCUUUUUGGCUACUGGUGUGAAGAACAGACUGAAGAAAGGCAAAGGUAGAGGCAGGGAGCCCAAUUAGGAGACAGUAGUCCAGAUAACACCUACUAAGAAGAUAGAAGACUUACUUUCAUCAUCUGAAUCAAAUCCAAAGAGUGUCUGACAUUUCUUUUGUGCAAGGUAUUCUUUUAAAUAUUUUUAAGAAUUUAGGUCCAAGAUGGCGACGUAGGCAGACCCUGAACUCACCUCCUCCAGGGACACAACAAAUCUGCACCUACACAGAGAGCAAUUCCUCCUGAAGAACUGAGGACUGACUGAACAGCUGAACAACAAAAGUAAGAGCGACCACAUAGAGAAUGGCAAGAAAGACGGAGACAUGGUAAUAGGGAAUCCCCACUCUCACCCCUGUAAACUGCAGUGGGGAGGGACAGUAAUAAGGGACUAUGAGCAGAUUCAUCUGCUCUGAGGUACAGAAAAAAAAGUUGCAGUUUAAAAGGGCAACUAGAAUAUAAAGGAUCUAGCCCUAGAACUCUGCCAAAUGGCAGGGAGACUGCUGGAACUUUCUCUAGGUCAGUGGGGCUGUCAAGCACCACAGUUUACACAUUCCCCAUCCACCUUGACAGCAUGGACAGGAGCAUAGUCCAGACACCCUACCACCUCAAUGAGCCCUGGUCCUCUAUCCAUACCAGCCCCAACUGUCUCACUAAGGAGGCCCAGUACAGUGCAUACCGGGUCACCCUUGUCAGUGUACACUGUAGCUCAAGACUACUUGACAAGGUAACACAGGCACAAAGCACCCUGGAACGCUCCAGACCCACACCACUUCAGCUCCAGACAACUUGCCAGGACACUGUGGUCCACACCUGCUUCUGCUCCAGCUGCCCGAAAAGGGCACCCCACACAGAAUGCCCCAGGAUGCCUCAGCCUGCACCCACUUUAGCUUCUGCUAUCACCCACAACACAAGAGAGCCCUGAGACCACCCUGUACCCACUUCAGCUUCAGCUGUCCUGCCGGUGUGCCCUCUGUACAGAAAACCCCAGGAGCAGCCCAGCCUACACCUACUUCAGCUCUGGCCGUCCCACCAGCAUGGCCCCAGCACAGGGAGUCCCAGGACAUUCAGCCUAUGACAGCUACAGCUCUAGCUAGCUAGCCAAAGUCAUCAGGCACACACAAUCCACACAGGGGAUAACCAUACACAGGAUCAUUCCUUCAAGUUUAGGAGAAGUAGCUGUUCCACCUAAUUCACAGAAAUAAACACAGAAAGUCAAGCAAAUGGGGACAGAGGAAUAUGCUCCAAAUGAAAGAACAAGACAAAGCCUCAGAAAAAGAACUAAAUAGAACAGGGAUAAGCGAUCUACCUGAUAAAGAGUUCAAAGUAACAGUCAUAAACUCAGGACUUCAACAAAGAAAGAGAAAAAAUAAAAAUAAAUAAAUAAAUAAAUAAAUAAAUAAAUAAAAUUUUUAAAAAAUGAGUAUGGCUUAAGGGCUAUCUUGGAUAACACUGAGUAAACAAACAUUUACAUUACAGGGGUCCCAAAAGAAUGAAGAAAUAAUACCUUAAAACUUUCCCAACCAGAGACAUCCAGGCUCAGGAGCACAGAGAAUUUGGAUCAAGGUGAACCCAAGGAGAUCCAUACCACUACACAUAAUAAUUAAAAUGUCAAAGAGGGAAGAUUUUAAAAAGUAUAGUUCCUUACCCAGCACUAUGAAAUUAAAAGCUCUGAGAAUAGGCAUGAAAACCUGCAUUAAAUAACAAGCUUUCUGUGUGACCUUAUGCUUACUAAAGUUUUUAAAGAAUUACUUGAUAUCAGAAUGACAGAUUUUAAAUUCCUUAAGAUUGCUUAAUGUGUGUACCAGUUUAUAAUUAUGUGUGUAUAUGGUGGGGUUAGGGGGUGAUGCAGGGGCCGGAAGAGUGCUAAAGUUUGACAGACCUGAUAGUCUGGGAACUGGUUAUGAAAAUGACAGUUUUCUUGAGAGUGGAGAGUGUGGCAAUCGGGACAACAGAGAGAAAGUAUAUGAAUACACAGUGAUGACUGAAAUGUCUUACGUUUAUGGUGCCUGAUAGCUGUGGUCCGUGCUGUAAAUCGCUCUGUGAAAUCGUGUUAUGGUGAUAGUUUUCAAAAACUAUUAUGAGAAAUAAACUAGAUAGACGGAAACAUAUCAUGUAAAACAUGUAUUUAAAUUUGACCGAUUCCAGGGAGUGUGGGUGUGACUCAGUCAGUUAAGCAUCUGACUCUUGUUUUCGGCUCAGGUCAUGAUCCUGCAGUUUGUGAGAUUGAGCCCCAUGUCAGGCUCUGCACUGACAGCUCAGAGCCUGCUUGGGAUUCUCUCCUCCCCUGCCCCACCGUCCCCUGCUGUGCGGGUGCACACAUGCACACUUUCUCUCUCAAAAUAAACAUAAGAUUUUUUUUCACUGAUUCCUAACAGAUAAAUAUUGGUGUUCUUAGGAAUGUGGUAUCCUUUUAAAGCCCAAAUAUCUCAUGACUCACUAUUUUGGAUAAUUUUUCUCACUACCACUCUCAAACCAAUAUAUAACUUUAAUUUAACAUGCUGUAACCACCAGGAUGAACAAUUCAAAUAACCUAGCAGUUUAUCUUAUUUCUUAACUUUCUUAUCUUCAGUGACAUCAGUCCUGGAACUUCUUUCUUAAGAAAAAUAAACAAACUUUAAAUAGAGACAAUAUAUACUGAAGGCUUUCUACUCUAUUAAAAUUUGCCACUAAUGUUAAGCUGAUCUAUUAAAGAGAAUGUGAAAAAUAAAUAUGUAUUUUAGAAUUUAAAAUUCAAAAGUAUUGGUUUAAAAAUGUCUUAUAUAAGCCCAUAUCAUUUUAGAUUAUUAUGUUGGGCAAAUGAAACCUAGUUAUCCUUUAAGAAUUAGUGAAUGUUGGGGUGCCUGGGUGGCUCAGUUGGUUAAGUGUCCAAUUCUUGAUUUCUUGAGAUCAUCUGUCACAUGAUCUCAUGGUUCAUGAGAUUAAUCCCCACAUCUGGCUCUGCACUGAUAGGGCAGAGCCUGCUUGGGAUUCUCUCUCUCCCUCUCUCUGCCCUUCCCUCCCUCACAUGUGUGCACAUGCUCUAAGUAAAUAAAUAAACUUAAAAAAAAAAAAGUAAAAUGUCCAAGUGGUAGGAUGUGUGUGUCUGUGUGUGUGUGUGUGUGUGCACGCACGCAUGAGAACUGGGAAAAGGAAGGCAGAAGUUAUUAGAAUCUUUUAGAAUUAUUCAUGAUUUCACCUAAAAGGAUUUGAAGAUAUGUACUAAAAACAUUCUAAUACCACAUUCUAAAUUACAUUAUUUCUUGGUAAACCUGAUGUUUCAUAUAUCCUACUAAUCAUUUUUAAGUAGCUUUAAAAAUGUUUUCACAAACUGGGGCGCCUGGGUGGCUCAGUCAGUUAAGCAUCUGACUUUAGCUCAGAUCAUGAUCUCUCGGUUCAUGAGUUCAAGCCCCAUGUCAGGCUCUGUGCUGACACCCGAAUCCUGGAGCCUGCUUCAGAUUCUGUGUCUCCCCCUCUCUCUGCUCCUCUCAUGCUCUGCCUCUCAAUAAUAAAUAAACAUUAACAUUUUUUUAAAUGUUUUCACAAACUAAUAUACAAUACCAUUUAUAUUAGCAUCCCAAGAAUGAAAUACUUAGGCAUAAAUCUAACCAAAUAAUUAUAAGGUCUACAUGAGGAAAAUUAUAAAACUAAUGAAUGAAUCAAAAAACUAAAAUGGGAGAGAUAUUCCAUAUUCAUGAAUAGGAAAACUCAAUAUUGUCAUGAUGUCAAUAUCUUGAUCUACAAAUUGAAUUAAAUCCCAAUCAAAACCCCAGCAGGUUAUUUUACGGGUAUCAACAAAUUGAUACUAAAGUUUAUAUGCAGAGGAAAAGACCCAGAAUAGCCAAUACAAUAUUGAAGAAAAAAGUUGGAAGACUAACGCUAAUAAGGACAUUGUUGUACUGGUGAAAGAAAAGACAAAUACAUCAAGAGAACAGAACAGAAAAGAGCCCAGAAACAGACCCCCAUAAAUAUAGUCAACUGGUCUUUGAUAAAGGAGCAAAGGCAAUAAUACAGUCGAGUGGAGAUAGUCUCAUCAACAAAUGGUGCUGGAAUAACUGGACAUCCACAUGCAAAAAAAAAAAAAAAAUCUAGACACAUGCUUUAUACCUUUCACAAAGAUUAACUCAAAGUGGAUCACAGACAUAAACAGAAAAUGCAGAACUAUAAAACUCCUAGUAAAUAAGCUUCUGGGUAUGGUGAUGCCUUUUUACAAUACUAUAGUCAUGAGCCAUGAAAGAAAUAAUUGAUAAGCUCGUCUUUGUUAAAAUUAAAAACUGUGCUCUGUGAAAGACAAUAUCAAGAAAAUUAAAAGAUAAGCCACAGAUUGGAAGAAAAUAUUUGUAAAAGACACAUCUGAUAAAGGACUAUUACCCAAAAUCUACAAAGACCUUUUAAAAUUCAACAAAAAGAAAACUAAUAAUCUAAUUUAAAAAUGGGCCAAAAAUCUUAACAGACACCUCACCAAAGAAGAUAUACAGAUAAAAAAACAAGCAUAUGAAAAGAUGGUCCCCACCAUACGUCAUCAGGGAAAUACAAAUUAAAACAAGAUACCACUAUACUCCUAUUAGAAUGGCCCAGUUUUGUAACACUGACAACAGCAAAUGCUGGUGAGGAUGAGCAACAGGAACUCUUAUACAUUGCUGGUGGGAAUACAAAACAGUACACCCACUUUGGAAGACAGUUGGGUAGUUUCCUUCAAAACUAAACACUCUUAUACAUUUCAGCAGGUGUGCUCCUCAGUAUUUACCCAAAGGAGUUGAAAUUUAUGUCCACACGGAAACCUGCACACGAAUAUUUACAGCAGCUUUAUUCAUGAUUGCCAAAACUUGAAACCAACCAAGAUGUCCUUCAUUAGGUGAAUGGAUAAAUAAACUGGUAAUCCAGGCAAUGGAAUAUUAUUCAGCACUAAAACGAAAUGAGCUAUAAAGCUAUGAAAAGACAUGGUGGAACCUUAAAUGUACAUUACUGAGUGAAAAAAGCCAAUCUGAAAAGGCCACACACUGUAUAAUUCCAACUAUACAAUAUGGUGGAGAAGGUAAAACUAUGACAAUAGUAAAAACAUCAGUGGUUUCCAGAGGUGAGGGUUGGGAGACGGAGAGAAGAAAUGAACAAGUGGGGAGCACAGAGGACUUUUAGGGCAGUGAAAAUACCCUGUGUGAUACUAUAUUUAUCCAAACCCAUAGAUUAUAUAUAACACCAGUAGUGAACCCUAAGAGAAACUGGACUUUGGGUGGUUAUGAUGUGCCACUAUGGGUUCAUCCUUGGUUAAAAAAAAAAAAAGUACUCUUCUGGUGAGUAAUUUUUUUUUGUUUUUUUUGUUUUUUUUUUCUGAGAAUGUUGAUAAUGGAGAAGGUUAUGUAUAUAUGGGGAUCGGGAUAUAAUGGGAAAUGUCUGUACCUCCCUCUCAAUUUUACUGUAAACCUAAAACUGCUCUAAAAAAUAAAGUCUUAAAAAACUAA
Panthera uncia (snow leopard) is the source of this 5692-nucleotide long non-coding RNA. RefSeq lists it as uncharacterized. Lineage: Eukaryota; Metazoa; Chordata; Mammalia; Carnivora; Felidae. The transcript is spliced from 4 exons. The record is from RefSeq and is a predicted model, not a curated record.